CAGUCGCCGCGGUAAUACGAAGGGGGCUAGCGUUGCUCGGAAUUACUGGGCGUAAAGGGAGCGUAGGCGGACAUUUAAGUCAGGGGCGAAAUCCCAGAGCUCAACUCUGGAACUGCCUUUGAUACUGGGUGUCUUGAGUGUGAUAGAGGUAUGUGGAACUCCGAGUGUAGAGGUGAAAUUCGUAGAUAUUCGGAAGAACACCAGUGGCGAAGGCGACAUACUGGAUCAUUACUGACGCCGAGGCUCGAAAGCGUGGGGAGCAAACAGGAUUAGAUACCCGCGUAGUCCCUGUCUCUUAUAC
RNAcentral lists this ribosomal RNA (301 nucleotides) under uncultured bacterium. Its description in RNAcentral is "partial 16S ribosomal RNA". It matches the Rfam family "Bacterial small subunit ribosomal RNA", at positions 509 to 807 of the family's 1533-position model. The record is from RNAcentral.